This 83-nucleotide transfer RNA is filed under the name Merluccius polli (Benguela hake). It matches the Rfam family "tRNA". Rfam says of the family: Transfer RNA (tRNA) molecules are approximately 80 nucleotides in length. Lineage: Eukaryota; Metazoa; Chordata; Actinopteri; Gadiformes; Merlucciidae. The record is from Rfam by way of RNAcentral.
GAUAGCGUGGCCGAGCGGUCUAAGGCGCUGGAUUUAGGCCUCCAGUCUCUUCGGAGGCGUGGGUUCGAAUCCCACCACUGUCA